Molecule: ribosomal RNA, 209 nt
Filed under: Salmonella enterica
Lineage: Bacteria; Pseudomonadati; Pseudomonadota; Gammaproteobacteria; Enterobacterales; Enterobacteriaceae
Also listed under: 7 other names
Description: partial 16S ribosomal RNA
Rfam family: Bacterial small subunit ribosomal RNA
Source: RNAcentral
AAAUUGAAGAGUUUGAUCAUGGCUCAGAUUGAACGCUGGCGGCAGGCCUAACACAUGCAAGUCGAACGGUAACAGGAAGCAGCUUGCUGCUUUGCUGACGAGUGGCGGACGGGUGAGUAAUGUCUGGGAAACUGCCUGAUGGAGGGGGAUAACUACUGGAAACGGUGGCUAAUACCGCAUAAUGUCGCAAGACCAAAGAGGGGGACCUU